Molecule: unclassified non-coding RNA, 259 nt
Filed under: Clostridioides difficile
Lineage: Bacteria; Bacillati; Bacillota; Clostridia; Peptostreptococcales; Peptostreptococcaceae
Description: 16S-23S ribosomal RNA intergenic spacer (ISR)
Source: RNAcentral
GCCUACUGUUUAAUUUUGAGGGUUCGUUUUUACGAAUACUCAAAAGUAGCACUUUAAGCAACGGAAUUUAUUCGUUGGCGCUGUGCAUUAGCACUUUAAGCAACGGAAUUUAUUCGUUGGCGCUGUGCAUUAGCACUUUGAAAACUGCAUAUAUAUAUUUAGUGAUAUGACAUCUAAUUUGUAAUAUAUAAAGCUGAUAACUUUUUAAAAUUAUCGAAGUUGAUAGCUUCUAAUCUAUCAAACCUUUUUAACUGGUCAA